RNAcentral lists this long non-coding RNA (235 nucleotides) under Mytilus galloprovincialis (Mediterranean mussel). The record is from RNAcentral. Lineage: Eukaryota; Metazoa; Mollusca; Bivalvia; Mytilida; Mytilidae.
GAAAAUUAAAACUGGCAAAGAAAUAUUAAUGUUUGCAAUAUCAACGUACCCUAUAUGAAAUAUUCAUUUGUAUGUGACAUGUAAAAAAAUCUCAUUAUAGAAGAGAGGCAAAAGAUACCAGAGAGAAAGUCAAACCCAUAGAUCGAAAAUAAACUGACACUGCCAUGGAUAAAAAAAGAAAAAAGACGAACAGAUAAAUAAUAUUACACGAGACACAACAGAGAAAACUAAAGAC